This is a non-coding RNA of Cinara cedri, 2133 nucleotides long. The record is from the annotation of a GenBank genome assembly. NCBI's taxonomy places the organism in Eukaryota, Metazoa, Arthropoda, Insecta, Hemiptera, Aphididae.
GACUUUCGUCCGCGUACAAGGCGCGCGAUUCGAAUAAAUGCGCAUAAAAAAAGACAAGGAAAAAAAAAGGCGGCCCCCACCGUGUACGCCGAGGUAAGGACGCGUCGUGUCUUUCCGCGGUCGUUUUAUUGUGACGCGCGCUCGCCACUCGGGAUAUUAAUGUACGCUUUAUACGUUUUAUACGACGACGACGAGGAGGCGGCGGCGGGAAAAAAAAGCGUUUUAGGUACGUAGUUUUUUUUUAAAUUUUAUUAUCAUUAUUGUUGUUAUUAUACGCGCACGUAUUAUUAUAAUAUGCAGAGGUGUCUGAGAAGCGAGUCGAUUUUUAUCGGACAGACGAAUUAAUCGUUUUUCUCUUCCUCUUUUUUUUUUUUUUUUUUGUUUUUUUUUUUUGUUUAAAUCGCGCGUUACCUAUACUCGUUAUAAUAUUGUAUUAUAAACCCGACACGACCGACGACGGCGACGACGACAAAAACAACGAUUAUUAUUAAUGCGUAUUAUAAUAUGUACGUAGGUAAUGCGAUAAUAAUACUACACAGCUAUACACCUAUACUUGUAGACUUCUAAAAAAUAUAUAUAUACAUGUAUUUUUAACGUAUUCAUCGAUAAAUAGCAAUUAGACAGUUAUUAGAGAUUGUAUUUAUCCGUAAAAUACAGAUUUCCUUUUAAAUUGCGAUGUUCGAAUAUAGGACGCCUUUGAAAAAUACUUUCGAAUAUUUUUCUAGUUUUUUUUUAUGUAUUUGUAAAUAAAACCGUAUAGUAUUUAGGCAGCAGGUACCUUAAAUAUUUCCAGAGAGGUUAGUGCGCUGCAGGUUAGUGGUUACGAAUUGGUUAUAAUCAGCUAUUUCUAUUCAUUUCUCAAUACGUUUUGAGAAAAUCUAAACAAAAUUAAUAAAAUAAACUUUAUACUGAAAUAGCAAUGGCAUUAACUCGUUAGGUUAGGUGUUUAAACACUUUUUAACUUAAAUAGUUUAUUAAUUAUUUUUAUCGUUAACUAUAACUAACUUGAAUAGGCAGUUUUCUAUUGGAUAAACAUAACUUUUUACAAUUAAUUUUUUAUAAAAAUCCUUGUUAAGCUAUGUUAAACAGGUUAAAGUCGAAUGAUUUUGUUCAAAAUUUGAAAUUAAAUUUUAAUUUUUCUGUUCUCAGUACUGCCGUUUAUGUAUUUCAUUUUACAAUAUUUAUUGUAAAUAUUUGAUUCAGUUUAUUUUUGUAUACAUAUAUAAUACUUCAUAUUGAAUACUUUUAAUGUUGAUUUUUGUACCUAGCAAAAAAGAAAAAGAAACUUUUUCCGAUUGAAUUUAAAUUAACAAGUUCAAUUACACAUUGAAAGUUUAUAUUGACUAUUGAUGCAUGAUAAAUAAAAAUAUUUAACAGUAAUAAUAUGCGAACUGGAGGAGAUAUGCUGGGUGUCGAAUCCCCCCUCUGGCUUUUUUUUUUUUUUUAUGGUAUAAGCAAUCUUUAAACUAAAUCUGGGACGUUCAUUAUAAAUACAAAUUAAAAUUCGUUUUUAAAUAUAAAUUUAUUUAGACCAGAAAUUAAAAUCAUAAUUGGUAUCUAUAGCGUUACAUUGUUAAAAAUUACACGCGGAAUACAAUGUCAGAGGCGUAUUUAUAAUUGAAUAUUAGAAUACUAUACAAUCAUUGCGUACCUAAUAACUAAAUGUUUUGUUCAUUAGAAUCGAUUAAAUGGAUUGGCUAUGCCGGCAGUCCAUAGAAAUGUUUCGAUGGAUCCAGAGGACGUUGUACUGGAUGAAAUGACUGCGAAGCCAAUCACACGCAGUAGAUCGAUUAUUAUAAAUCUUAUGCUUUGUUCGUCAUUAUUAUCCAUAAUUCUAUCUGUAUAGGAAUGAUCUAUUUAAUCGGUCUGAGCGUUUUCGUUGUUUUACUAACCGCAAAGAGGUUUUCCAAGAAUAAUACACGUUUCACGGCAAAACUAUAUUGUACAAUAUGCUUUUUCGCUUUACUUAGAAUCUACAAAGUGACGGUAUUUUUAAUUGAUUUUUAAAUGUUUUCCAUAAAUACUAUACAUUACGUAUAUAAUAAUUAUGGAAAUCUGCGUUACGUAAUAUUAUGGGCUAUCCUACCAAUUAUCAUCAUGUGUACCAAGGGCAUUCGUAUUCGAAAAUCCACG